Hippopotamus amphibius kiboko is the source of this 524-nucleotide long non-coding RNA. RefSeq lists it as uncharacterized. Lineage: Eukaryota; Metazoa; Chordata; Mammalia; Artiodactyla; Hippopotamidae. The transcript is spliced from 3 exons. The record is from RefSeq and is a predicted model, not a curated record.
CUCGGGGUUCUGCGUGGAGUGGGGCUGCUGGGCUGCUGCUCUUCUUGCUGCUGCAGGGCUCAGGGCCGCUGAUCGACCCCCACCCUCCCCGUUCCCCUUGACCUGGAUUUCUCACCUUGGAGGCGGCUCAUUGCGAAAGAACAACCCCCUUGCCUCCCCGCUCCCCGGGUUAUCCCGCUCACCUUCUCCUUUGUUCUCCUUCCUGUCCGCAGCGGUCUCCAGGGGUCUCCAAAGGUUGGAGUUAUGGUGUCCCGACGUGCGGCGAGCCGCUGUGCUUCUGCUUAUCAGGACCCGGCUCUUGGAGGGCGAUGACCACAAUCCCACCUCGAAAUUCCACUUUGACCUGUAACCUCUCCUCCUCCUGACGUCGUUCUGGACUUCUUUUAUUGCAAAAAUGAUGCAAAUGAAACUGGUUCAGAAGGUUUUGGACAGAAUGUUGAUGGGAUAUAGUGUCCGUUUGAGUCCACAUAUUGCAGUUGUCAGGCAUAGAAAGACACGAUGGAGGAAGAAACAGUGAAUUUGCU